Molecule: long non-coding RNA, 591 nt
Filed under: Struthio camelus australis
Lineage: Eukaryota; Metazoa; Chordata; Aves; Struthioniformes; Struthionidae
Description: lncRNA (ENSSCUG00000016118.1)
Source: RNAcentral
UUUUAAAACAAAACUCACGUCAUUUGCUCACACUCCCAUACUCACAACAAGCACCAGCAUGUCCAAGUAUUUGUCCAGCAUCCAAGGAUCAAGAUGCAAGUACCCAGGUGGUCUGGCCAGGAUUUCUUGUGAUGACGUGGAGGACAAGGGACACUGUCUACUGAGUCCUUCUCAUGCCUCCUCGUUUCUUCCUAGGUUGGCAGGCAUGCUGAAGUUUUGGAGGGGCUUUUUAUAUCCCUUUGGAACUGGGCUCAAGCUGUCCUCGCUUUCUGGAUCUGUGUCCUUCGAAGCUGCACAUAGAAGUGCUGGGAUCUUCCUGACCUAUACUAAUCGAGGUGCCAGGAACAUCUACUUUUCUUAUAUCCCUCUUCUGCUGUUUCGACACGUAGACAUUCCUGUUGAUUCUCAAGUCUCAUUUCUAUUCCUGUUCUCUGCAACUUGAUAGAUCACGGUGAACUUUUGAAGUUGCAGAAAUAUGUCUCCUCUGAGUUUUAAAAGCUAUACAAGGGGCAAUAGAGUUGACCAUUCCUUAACAGUAAAGGCUAACAUGCUUCCAAUAAAGGGCCCAGCAGAAGAAAAAGGUGACUGUUU